UUUUAAGUCAAGCGAUAUGAAUCCAAUUUGAUUGGUUCAAUUUGUAUUUCUAAGCCAAUGUCUUCCCUAUUUUUGAUUUUUCAUUUUCAUAAUUUAGUAAUCGGCUGUUCGGGUCGAAAGCAAAAGACUUGUAAGUUGAUUGGUUGAACGCACAAAAAGAUAGGGAUCAACAAUAUAACCAUUCAAGCCCAAAAUCCUUCAGAAUCAGAAACAGAAAGAUGAAA
This 224-nucleotide unclassified non-coding RNA is filed under the name Hevea brasiliensis (rubber tree). Lineage: Eukaryota; Viridiplantae; Streptophyta; Magnoliopsida; Malpighiales; Euphorbiaceae. The record is from RNAcentral.